RNAcentral lists this ribosomal RNA (253 nucleotides) under uncultured bacterium. RNAcentral describes it as "partial 16S ribosomal RNA". It matches the Rfam family "Bacterial small subunit ribosomal RNA", at positions 524 to 776 of the family's 1533-position model. The record is from RNAcentral.
UACAUAGGGUGCAAACGUUGCUCGGAAUUAUUGGGCGUAAAGCGCGCGUAAACGGUUACUUAAGUCGGAUGUGAAAGCCCUCGGCUUAACUGAGGAAAUGCACCCGAAACUGAGUAGCUAGAGUACGAAAGAGGGUCGCGGAAUUCCCGGUGUAGAGGUGAAAUUCGUAGAUAUCAAGAGGAACACCGGUGGCGAAGGCGGCGACCUGAGUCGAGACUGACGCUGAGGCGCGAAAGCGUGGGGAGCAAACAGG